GCAGCGGGCUGGGACCCACGCGGCGCCGCAGCCCACCUGGCCUGCAGCGCUCCCACCCCCGGCGGCGGCGGCGGCGGCACGAUGCCCUUUGACUUCAGGAGUGCCUACGGGACCUUGUGCAGCUUACCUUCUGUGUGUUCUCCUGUCUGUGAAAUGGGCAUGAGAACAGUACCCAUUGUUGAGAGGAUUAAACAAGUCAAUGUGUGUAAAGCAUUUAGACACAGUAAGCACCCAAUAAAUUUUGGCCACUAUUUUCA
This is a non-coding RNA of Leptonychotes weddellii (Weddell seal), 257 nucleotides long. NCBI's taxonomy places the organism in Eukaryota, Metazoa, Chordata, Mammalia, Carnivora, Phocidae. The record is from RefSeq and is a predicted model, not a curated record.